CCUACGGGUGGCUGCAGUGGGGGAUAUUGGACAAUGGGGGGAACCCUGAUCCAGCGACGCCGCGUGAGUGAAGAAGUAUUUCGGUAUGUAAAGCUCUGUCAGCAGGGAAGAAAGAAAUGACGGUACCUGACCAAGAAGCCGCGGCUAACUACGGGCCAGCAGCCGCGGUAAUACGUGGGGGGCAAGCGUUAUCCGGAAUUACUGGGUGAAAAGGGAGAGUAGGCGGUUAAGUAAGUCUGGAGUGAAAGGGCGGGGCUCAACCCCGGGACGGGUCUGGAAACUAUUUAACUUGAGUGCAGGAGAGGUAGGCGGAAUGCCUGGUGUAGCGGUGAAAUGCGUAGAUAUUAGGAAGAACACCAGUGGCGAAGGCGGCUUACUGGGCUAUAACUGACGUUGAGGCUCGAAAGCGUGGGGAGCAAACAGGAUUAGAUACCCCAGUAGUC
Molecule: ribosomal RNA, 443 nt
Filed under: uncultured bacterium
Lineage: Bacteria
Description: partial 16S ribosomal RNA
Rfam family: Bacterial small subunit ribosomal RNA
Source: RNAcentral